Molecule: ribosomal RNA, 253 nt
Filed under: uncultured prokaryote
Description: partial 16S ribosomal RNA
Rfam family: Bacterial small subunit ribosomal RNA
Source: RNAcentral
GACGUAGGGAGCGAGCGUUGUCCGGAUUCAUUGGGCGUAAAGCGCGCGUAGGCGGUUUGGUAAGUCGGAUGUGAAAACACGAGGCUCAACCUCGUGCGUGCAUCCGAUACUGCCCGACUAGAGGUAGGUAGGGGAGAUCGGAAUUCCUGGUGUAGCGGUGAAAUGCGUAGAUAUCAGGAGGAACACCGGUGGCGAAGGCGGCUCUCUGGACCACAACUGACGCUGAGGCGCGAAAGCCAGGGGAGCAAACAGG